CCAGUUAUAAAAAUUUAAGUGACUAAUAAAGAUCUAUGAUGGACAUUUUACAAUGCAGACACCUGCAAUUUUGAGUUUAGAAUGGCAAAUAAAUUAGAGAACAUCGUAUCAAUAAUGUCAUAAAACCAUACCAGUUCUAAAAAUGUAACCACACUUAAGUUUAAACAUCACAGAGCAUAUACAACCAUGGGGUUUACUGAAUAUGAGUAGGUGAAAAUACUUGUUUGAAUUGGCACUUACUCCAUCAUGAUUACAAGCAUCAUGAUCAAAAUUAUGUAAAGAAAGCUAGAUAAUAUAAAAUCUUCAUCCUUCAAUAUACCAUGUGCUUCGUCCUCUAAAAACCACUCAUAAGCCUCCAGUCAUCACAUGUCAAAAAAGAAACUAAAUAAUGGCAAACCAAUCAGAGACUUGAAUACAAUAAGGAUCGCGUUUUCUGCGAAUGAAGUAUCACAUGCCACGAUCUCUCAGCAAAGACUAACUCUAUCGAGUCUAAAAAGAAACCGUAAUUAACAUUCAAGUACUCGAACAACACAAAGAACCACAAAUCAAACGCUACAACCGAGACAACAUCCCAAACCCAUCAAAUCAAAGCAAAGUUGGCUUUUUUCGGUUCAUCCAAAUCGAACCAACGCCAAACCAAAAUCCACGAACAAAGGAAACAAAAUAAGAACUAAAACAAGGGGCUUCGGUUCCCGCGGGUAAGACGGAGGAAAAGGGAGAAGAAACGGAAGGAAAUGACCUCGGAUCGCGAUAUCUCGAGCUAAAACUCGAAUGCCGAAACCCUAAUCGCCUCAGGACGAGGACGAGGCCGGAUUCCCAGGGGCUUGGGGCGAUGGUCAAAGAGAGCUCGGCACGAGGGCGAGCUCGAAGAAGGAGAGGAAGAGAGGAACGCAGCGAGAGAUCGGCGUCCAACGGGGGAUUUCAAAUGGAGGAUUAUAUAAGCGAUGGCAUCGGAGAGGAAGAUAUAUACAUAGAGAGAAAAGGGACGGCUGGAGGGACUCUUUAAUUUCAUUGUUCGCACACUAAAUCUGUGCGGUGGGAAGAUCCACCGUCCGUUUGAUCAAUCUAAUGGAUCCUGGCCGUCCGAGCUCAGUGAUGCGAUCAUGCGUGGCUCUUGGACGCAUGACUGCGACCCCGAGUCGGCCCGGGUCGACUCUGUAGCAGUGCUGCAAACUCGGACGAGUAGGUCGAUUCGAAUCGGGCGUCAGGUUAUUGUGGACAACAAAAGCUAUAAAUACAAACCACAAGUCAAACUGGGUUUAAACAUUUGCAACGAGUUCUCUAUAACGGCUUUGGUGGCCGCAUGGUUUCCAUAAGAAUCGUUGUCUUGGUGUAUGCAAAAUGCUUGGAAUGAAUAUACCUUUGUCAUCGGCCCGUCCAACUCCGAUGACCACUGCGCAUGCCCACCGUUGUGGUGGCGCAGGCGGUGAUGACGAUGUCAACGAUCCGUCCCGCCGCAAGCAGAGCACACAGUCGACACCGACCCCGUAUUCCCGGCGGAGGAGGAAGUCGAAAAAGAUGGCGUUGGUAUUCCACCUACGCAAGCGCCAAGGAACAACAGACAAGCGCCAAGGAAGUACGAAGGGGCGGCUCCAGGAGGAAAGCACAACAGACAAGGAGAAGCAGUGGGAAGACGAAUUGGACCGGGGAACAGGCGAACAAGGAGGAGGAGGAGGGAGAAGAAGGUGCCGCGGAGGCACCAACGGCGUCAGGAGGAGCGGUCGAGGGGACUCGGGAAGCAUAAUACUAGCAAUAGUAUCAUAUAAUCCUAAUAAUUGAUUUGAUGAAAAUGAAAUGAGUUAUAAUACUUGAUAAUCGAUUAAAUAUAAAAAAAUAUAUUUUAUUUUAAAAUUAUAAAAAUUAUAUAUAAAGAUUUAUACAAAUAUUUUAAAACUAUAUACUUUGUGGAUUGAUUUAACGAAAAAUAUCUUGAUUACACUCGAGCGAGGUAUAUUCAUUCACCGUCCGAAUGGAUCCGAAAUGAAUCGACUCAUGAAUUUGUGACUUGAAAUAGUCUGAUUAUAAUAAAAAAAAAUUAAAAUUAAAAAAAAAUAUAUAUAUCUCUUGAUAAAAUCAAAUAUAAGGGUGCUACAAAGAUAAAACUCAUUACUAAGAAUUUUUAUUUUUCUUUGGUAAAUUGCCCCAUUACUGUUACAGACCAAUAUCAUCGAUCAUCGUUAGGAAAGUGGGAGGUCUAUCAAUGGAUUUCCUAACAGACAUCGACCCGCAAAUAAUCUCGCUCUGGGAAUUGCCAAUACCUAAAUGCAGUGAACUUAAUUGUUGAUGACAGACUGGUUUUGCUUGUGCUAUCAUGUGGAUUGCGAUGACGGAUGGGAUAGCUUCAUACUGAAACUACUUGUUGAGUUGGAAGUAUGUGUUACAGAGAUGAACCAAAUGUUCCUCUCAGGUGACCACAUUGACCUAAAUUUCUUGUGAUAAUUAAAUCACGACAUUUUUGUAUGAAAUUAUUCAGGUUUCAUCGGAAACCUACCUUUUCUUAGAUUUUAUAUCAAGAUAUGGAACUGAGGUUAGAGUCAUCAAGUUGGAACUCAUGACAAAAUGUCGAACCCACAAAACAUCCAUGCAAGAGUAUGAUUCAGGUUUAGAGUUUAAAACACAGAUUUUACACACAAAAAAAAAGAGCUAUCUCAAACUAUGUAAUGAAACUACCAUAUACUGCCACAAGUAAUGUUACAAGAUGACAAGUGGAUUACUACGAUCAUCACAAGUAACUACUAGAAUAUUGUGCGCCAUUGUAUUUUGAGUCCUUUUUGUACUGUGUCUCAAAAGCCAUAUCAAAACACACAUUUUGGAAUUUCCAAAAGCCAUUAGCAACUCCUGUUCAUGCACAUAAUAAGCUCCCUAGAUAACUAAGCAAAAAGACUCCAAAAAUGUCCCUGAUGCUCCAAUAAUAAUCCACCAAAAUGCAGUAGCAUGCAAUCGCACGUAAUUCAAGUUAAAUACAUGUUACAAACCUGCCACAGAGAUUAGGAGUUUGGCAGAGGGAUUGGUGUAUCUUAAUCCAAGAUGCAAGCAAACUUUACAUUCGUACUCAUAGUCCCCACGAGAACACAAGACAGGGGCUCUUCACUGUGUGAGCAACUUGGAGUCACAAGCCACAAUCUUCACUCUCUUGACUUGGUCGUGGCAGUCCUCGCUUUUGAAAACUGCAUCUUGCAAGAUGAAUGUCCACACAUUGUCACAGAACCUAUAAGUGUGCAGAUGACCCUGUAGAACAGUCUUGAGAAAAUAAGGUUUCUUGAUUACCAGGUUUAAUCAGAAAAAAAAAAAAAGGAAAAACUUAAACAUGAGGGCAUGAUAAUGGUUUGACUUUAUUCUAUAACUUGCAUAAUAUUGGUCUAACAGUGGGAGCUUAAAUCUUGACCAGAGAAUAGAGAGGCCAACUAUGGGCAUACUUGGCAUCUAUCAUGGGAUUUGGAUAAGUAGAAAGCACAGAAUAGGCAUGAGAUAACACAUAGCCGACUAUAAUGUCAAUAAACUACAGAAUAUUACUUAACGGUCAAAAUAACCACCUAUGAUCGGAUAGCUCUAAAUGAAAUAAAUCUUCACAUGAUAAAAGGGACUGAUGGACCUGAAAGAUUGAUAAGGGAAAAAAGGAAACUUCAGGUUUAAGAGGUAAGCAGUAGUACAUAUACAGCAAAAUCUGCAGGAUGGGAACUCCCAUUUCAAUAGCUCCAUAUGCAUAAUUUAGUAAAGCCAGAUAAGAUCAGAACUAAAAUAUGUCUUUUACCACUUAACUAGGAUGAUUUAGUCCAGAAUUGGAGUAUUGCAUAUUGCAUGAGUGCAGGUGCACAGUGAACUACAGUAUAUGCAGACAUGAUGAAAAUAGUUGGUACUCAUGACACACAACAGGCUGUUAAGUCAGUCAAAGUUUCCAGUCUGGUGGACUUGAAUAAGCGAGAUCAACUCAUCUUCAGAAAAAACCAUGCACAUUUCAGAAAUUUAGAAGGAAAGAAAAGUUCUUAACUAGUAGAAAACAGAAUGUCCUGGAAACAAGGUUUAGCAGGAAAUCUGUUGAUUCAUUAUAUGCGCUAAAUGCAUGCAUAUACCACAUAGACAACUAGUGAACCAUAUAUAUAAAUUACCCACAGAUAAGCAUAAAACAAGAGACAGAAUGUCCUCAAGUACAACAACUUUGGUCCAAUAACAAUGAUAUAUAUGUAUACACAUACACACACACAUCAUUGUCACCAAACAAACAAAAAGUCACUUACCUAAUGAUAUUUCAUUUCCAAAUUGUUAAUAAAAUGAAGAAAGAUUGUUUCUCAGCCUCAGACAACCUAGGGAUAAAAGAUACAAGAGAGUACAGGGUACAAGGACUUGACGGGUCAAUUUAUCAAUUACCUUUGAUCUAGAAUUUAUCAUGGGAUUUUAUAGUGUCAGCUUAAAAUACAAAAGUAACGUCAUAAAGUGAUCCGGAUGAACAAAUGUAUGACUCCUAAAACAUGUCAACAAACUACACACACCAAACACGUACAGAGAGUAUCAUAUCAUAAAUACACCAAUCCUUUGAUUUAAUGCUACUUUAAAAGGUUCACACUCAAGUUUCAGAUGCUAAGAUAAUCAAAGAAGCAAUCAGCGGCAAUGGUUUCAGGUGCUCACACAGACUAAAACCCUAUUUGACCCCAAAAAGCUAUGCUUCAUCUGCUAUUUAAGGCCCAAGAUUUGACUGAAGUCGAAGCACAGAAAGUAACGUACAUAUCAGCCUGAGCCUCGUCUACUAUUUCUCAUUAAUCACACAAGUUCAAGUCCAAGCGAUGCCUGAACAGAGAGAAUGAAAGCUAUGUGAUUUGAUGAAUAUGUCCAAGAAGGUUCAGAUUUCUUUUGGAAGAGUCCAGAGUCAGACCCAGUCCAGGAUAUUGGACUUUUUAUGGGAAUGGCAUGACUGGGCGUGCAACAUGCCAAGUUCAAUUUUGGUAGAAGUUGAAUGAAAAAAGAAAAAGAUUCAUGACUUGCUCUUGUAUUCUUAUGACAAUUCUUUUAGUAAUAUUUUCUAAUCCACAAAUAUAUAACUAAUAUAACAAAUUACAGAAGAAUACCUUUAGUAAUGAAAUUUGUGUAAAUAUUCAUUCAGUGAUUUAAAUGACACAACUAGCAAAAUGACUAGAAUGAGAUCACAACCGCUGAUCGCCUUACUGGGGGAACAAUCAAUCUUGCAAAUGACUAGAAUGAUCCAGAGGCAUAUGUGCUCACAAGCAUGGAGAACAACCAAUUCUGGAUGAUGAUGACUAGCAUGGUCCAGAGGCAUAUAUGAUCACAAGCACGGAUUGCCUUACUGAGGGAAUAACCAAUUCUGGAUGAUGACUAGCAUAAUCCAGAGGCAAUAAAUUAGCAAUGAAGAUAUGUGAUCACAUGCACAUAUUGCCUUACUCGGAGAGAACCAAUUUGCACAGCAUCUAUUGGCAAAAAGAAAAGAGAUACUUGAUGUUUAGAGAGGCUGGAAGAAAGAAAAUCCCUAGAAAUACUUGAUGCUUCUUUCAAUGAGAAUGAGAGGCGUAAAGUUUGCUAGGGUAGCAGUACACUUCCCUAAGUUGAUUGUUGAAAAGAUUCUUAGUAUUCUUAAAAAAGAUGCUUCUAGUUUGCUUCAACAUUUACAACUAUAUUUAAUGCAAUUUUUCUGUUCAAUCGGAAGAAAGGACAAGCUUCAAGUCAAUUAGUAUCUUUUAUUCAUCAAAAUUUAUCUGUUGGAAAUUUUAGGUUGAGUAAUAGAAUGUGAAUCUUGCAUAAUUUGUUUCAAUAAAAAAUUGUUAACAACAGAUGAAGCUUCAGCAGCAAAUGCAUUUGGAAUGAGAAACGAAUUUCCUUGAUAUAAUAUUAAACUGGUCUUCGAAAGACCCUUGGCCACAUAUUAAGUUCCUUUGGUCCCUAUUCGUCACAAUUAACUGAAUCAAGGCAUUGGCCUAAUGGUUGACAUUCAAUUUAUUUUGAAAGAUUUUGGGUUCAAAUACUUGUAAUGGUGAUGUCGAAGAAUUUGAGCCAUAUAAUUUUACAGCUUGAGAUCCAUCUACCACUCUCCAGUAUUAAAAUGAAACACAGAAACUCAUGAGUCAAGGCCUCAGACAGACGUCACACUUAAUAUUUAGUGAGAUAAUAAAACAUUGGUCGUAUGACAUGUUGAUACUAAAAGGUUAAAGACAAAACUAUUGUUAGAAGAAUCAAUAGUUGUCAAUGUUAAAUUAAAAUAUUAAAUAAAAAUGAAUUUUAAAGAAGCAACAAAAGUAAAAGAGGCAAUCAGAGGCACAAGUGAACUGGAUAUACAUGACAAAGAAUAUGCCUAAUAGCAAAAGUUUACCUUAAUCGAAACCUUGCUCUUGACUUGCGUCUCCAAGGCAUCUGUCAUAGACUGUGAGGAGAACAAAUUCAAAGGAAAAAGAACUUAAAAGCAUGACUGCUAAAAUCUCCAAAAGAAAUUUGUCCAGGGUUUAAAUUAAAUUUACCUUAUCAAACUGCAUAAGGACUUGGAUAGCUAGCUCCGGGCUCAACGUACCGCCGGAAACCAUCUCAUCUAGGGUUUCUGUCAAGCACAUGCCAAUGGAGGACCUUCGGUACAAUUCAAAUGUGGCCAUGGCCUAUUCUAGCACUCCAAUUAGCAAAAUUUAUUUAGUAACAAAAGCUCAGGAUUUCAAAACAAAGAAAAGCAAAAAGGCAACAAUAACAACUAGAAACAAAGAAUAGGUUGGUAUAUUUUAUUUUUUCUAGCCAAUUCUAGCACUCCGAUUAGCAAAGGUUAUUUAGCAACAAAAGCUCAGGAAUUCAAAACAAAGAAAAGCAAAAAGGCAACAAUAAACAACUAGAAAUAAAGAAUAGGUUGUUAUAUUUUAUUUUUUCUAUUAAGUGGAGGCAGCAACUCUUUAACAUAUUAGAAAUUGACCUGUAGCAGAAUAUUAACAUCAUAAAUAACCAUAAUAAAAACCACUGAGACUUGACAAAAAAAGGAUGCUUUAUAUAAUAAAUGAGGGCUUCGGAAUAACUACCAGCUCAAGAAGGAAAAGUGAUAAAAGUGUAAGAAAGAGAUGGGGAAGUAGAUAUUGCACUUCCCUAUGCCAUGAAAGAGGCAUUGACAUAAUGUCAAGCAAAUGUUUAAAACAGCAACCCAAUUAGUAGACAAUGUCAAUUAGGAAAAGUUCUUCUAAAUAUAUAUUUGAUAUAGUUGAAGAAUAUUCCCAGAGCAAAGCCCGUCAUAGCAUAAUUACUUGCCGAAUCAUGUAAGAAAGAUAUGCUCUUUCAUCCAAAGAAUAAACAGAAGAACAAAACCCCUUUUACAUGGUAAAGUGGGAUGGAGAUAAAAACAUGCAUGAAACAAGUAAUAAAACCUUGGUCUUCUUGACACUAAAAACAAAAAAAAUAUGUGUUUUAUCUUCUGUUUUACAGAACAUGUUUGGCAGUCACAUCUUCAUAACAAGGACAAGCACAACCUAGAGCUUCAAUCUUUAAUCUCCUUGUGCAUACACGAAUUAUGUUUCAACAAUCGUUAAGUACACAUUAGGAAUUUGUAAAUCAAGAGGACAAGCAAAUCCAGUUAUAAAAAUUGAAGUGAUUAAUAAAGAUCUAUGAUGGACAUUUUACAAUGCAGACACCUGCAAUUUUGAGCUUCUAAUGACAAUUAGAUAACAGAUCAUCGUAUACAUAAUGUCAUAAAACCAUACCAGUUCUAAAAAUGUAACCACACCUAAGUUUAGACAUCACAGAGCAUAUACAACCAUAGGGUUUACUGAAUAUGAAUAGGUGAAAAUACUUAGUUUGAAGUGGCACUUACUCCAUCAUGAUUACAAGCAUCACGAUCAAAAAUAUGUAAAGAAAGCUAGAUAAUAUAAAAUCUUCAUCCUUCAAUAUACCAUGUGCUUCGUCCUCUAAAAACCACUCACAAGCCUCCAGUCAUCACAUGUCAAAAUAGUAACCAAAUAAUGGCAAACCAAUCAGAGACUUGAAUAUAAUAAGGAUCGCGUUUUUUGCGAAUGAAGUAUCACAUGCCAUGAUCUCGCAGCAAAGACUAACUCUAUCGAGUCUAAAAAGAAACCGUAAUUAACAUUCAAGUAGUCGAACAACACAAAGAACCACAAAUCAAACGCUACAACCGAGACAUCUUCCCAAACCCAUCAAAUCAAAGCAUAGUUGGCUUUUUUUGGGUCAUCCAGAUCGAACUAACGCC
Molecule: long non-coding RNA, 8170 nt
Filed under: Musa acuminata (dwarf banana)
Lineage: Eukaryota; Viridiplantae; Streptophyta; Magnoliopsida; Zingiberales; Musaceae
Description: long non-coding RNA (MACU_LNC000277)
Source: RNAcentral